UACGGAAUGUGCAAACGUUAUUCGGAAUCACUGGGCUUAAAGAGUCCGUAGGCGGCUUGUUAGGUGAGGUGUGAAAUCCCUCGGCCCAACCGAGGAAUUGCGCUUCAAACCGGCAAGCUAGAGGAGGAUAGAGGUGGGCGGAACUGAUGGUGGAGCGGUGAAAUGCGUUGAUAUCUGGAGGAACACCGGUGGCGAAGGCGGCAUCCUGGACCGACACUGACGCUGAGGAGCGAAAGCCAGGGGAGCAAACGGG
This 253-nucleotide ribosomal RNA is filed under the name uncultured bacterium. Its description in RNAcentral is "partial 16S ribosomal RNA". It matches the Rfam family "Bacterial small subunit ribosomal RNA", at positions 524 to 776 of the family's 1533-position model. The record is from RNAcentral.